GAUGCAUUCGAUGGUAUAUAUCUACCUUCCUUUGGAACCUAUUUUGUCAUAAAUUCAUCAUAUAGAGUUUCUCUACUAAUGAGGUAGCGCAUCCCUCCUUCGAUGGGAUCGCUCUCCUGUCUUUUCCUUCUCUCACUCUCGGCGGUCGGCGCAAGGCCAACCCACCCCUCUGCGAGGUCUGGAUGGAUGAUUGUCGACUACUUCUGAUCGAAUUUCAGGAAGAACGGAGCGGCGAAAAAGUGCUACAUGACGUACCAUCCCAUGGUAGAGAUUGACGACGUCUUCGAGGCUGACUUUCAGAAGUUCAAGAACGAGUUAUCGAAGUUUAAGUAGGAGGAUGAUCGAUCAUCGACGUCAAGCCCUUUACCUUUCCAUCUAAAAGUUUCUUUGCCCAUGCUAUCCAAAUCAAAACGAUCGAAUUUUCACCAUUCUGUUCUCCAAAAGAUGUGAUUUUUCCUGAAUUUUGAAAAAUUGAGUGUUAGAAGUCUCAAAAACGAAGACGAUCAGCUUAUUAUCUUAACGUUUGAAUCGUUUCUUUUAUUUUGAUUUAAUCUUUUCUGUUUUAUUUGGUCGGCGGGGAGCAGACGAAGGCUGCUUAGAAGAACGGGUAGGCGACCUCUAGAAAUUAAAGUCUCGAAAAUGGAGGAGAAAGUGGUGGUCCUGAGGGCUGAUGAUGGCGGAAGACAGCUUUAUUAGUUUGGUGUCGCUUUUAACCUUAUAUGUAUUUAUUUACUAGUUCCUCAUAAGAAGAUGAUCUACUUUUCUUCUUUUUUUUGACUAUUUAAUUAAAUUCUGCAGCAUGGGCCGGGUUACUUGUUGUGGUGCAUGUUACAAAAUGUUAAAUCUAUUCUAGUAGGGGACAUGAAAGAAACUCAAACUUGAUAA
Molecule: long non-coding RNA, 885 nt
Organism: Phoenix dactylifera (date palm)
Lineage: Eukaryota; Viridiplantae; Streptophyta; Magnoliopsida; Arecales; Arecaceae
Source: RefSeq, a predicted model, not a curated record